CCCUCCUGUACCCCUGUACCCUGCUCUACCCUUUCACCCUGCUUUACUUCUGUAUCCUGCUCUACCUCUACAAUCAGCCCUGCCCUUAUACCAGUUCCAGGAUCUUCUUGCAUUAUGUUCACCUCACAUAAGGGGAUCCAGUGUCCCUGGGAAGGAGAUUAUAAAAUGCCGAAUUCCAUCCUUGGCCCAAGUAAUUCCACUGUGAUUCAGUCUGUUUGUAACAGCAGGUAAUGUCUGUCUGUCUGUCUGUCUGUCUGUGCUGUUACUGAGCCAUAUAAUACUCUGUGUUUGCUGUACUCCAAG
This is a non-coding RNA of Pelobates cultripes (western spadefoot toad), 303 nucleotides long. The record is from the annotation of a GenBank genome assembly. Lineage: Eukaryota; Metazoa; Chordata; Amphibia; Anura; Pelobatidae.